Molecule: ribosomal RNA, 449 nt
Filed under: uncultured bacterium
Lineage: Bacteria
Description: partial 16S ribosomal RNA
Rfam family: Bacterial small subunit ribosomal RNA
Source: RNAcentral
AACGAACGCUGGCGGCAGGCCUAACACAUGCAAGUCGAACGCUGUAGCAAUACAGAGUGGCAGACGGGUGAGUAACGCGUGGGAACAUGCCCUUCGGUUCGGAAUAACUCAGGGAAACUUGAGCUAAUACCGGAUACGCCCUUAGGGGGAAAGAUUUAUUGCCGAAGGAUUGGCCCGCGUCCGAUUAGCUAGUUGGUGAGGUAAUGGCUCACCAAGGCGACGAUCGGUAGCCGGUCUGAGAGGAUGAUCAGCCACACUGGGACUGAGACACGGCCCAGACUCCUACGGGAGGCAGCAGUGGGGAAUAUUGGACAAUGGGCGCAAGCCUGAUCCAGCCAUGCCGCGUGAGUGAUGAAGGCCCUAGGGUUGUAAAGCUCUUUCGCCAGGGACGAUAAUGACGGUACCUGGAUAAGAAGCCCCGGCUAACUUCGUGCCAGCCGCCGCCGUAA